GAUGAACGCUAGCGGCAGGCUUAACACAUGCAAGUCGAGGGGCAGCAUGAUGAAACUUUCGGGUUUCAUUGAUGGCGACCGGCGCAAGGGUGCGUAACGCGUGAGCAACUUGCCCUUAUCAGGGGGAUAACCGGUGGAAACGCCGACUAAUACCCCAUAGCAUCAACUUUAGGCAUCUUUAGUUGAUUAAAGAAUUUCGGAUAAGGAUAGGCUCGCGUGACAUUAGCUAGAUGGCGGGGUAACGGCCCACCAUGGCGACGAUGUCUAGGGGUUCUGAGAGGAAGGUCCCCCACACUGGAACUGAGACACGGUCCAGACUCCUACGGGAGGCAGCAGUGAGGAAUAUUGGUCAAUGGCCGAGAGGCUGAACCAGCCAUGCCGCGUGAAGGUCACGGCCCUAUGGGCUUUAAAACUCUUUUUGUAAGGGAGCAAUAAGUCUCACGUGUGGGAUGAUGAGAGUACCUUACGAAUAAGCAUCGGCUAACUCCGUGCCAG
RNAcentral lists this ribosomal RNA (495 nucleotides) under uncultured bacterium. RNAcentral describes it as "bacterial SSU rRNA". It matches the Rfam family "Bacterial small subunit ribosomal RNA", at positions 28 to 511 of the family's 1533-position model. The record is from RNAcentral.